RNAcentral lists this ribosomal RNA (2898 nucleotides) under Streptococcus thermophilus. Its description in RNAcentral is "bacterial LSU rRNA". It matches the Rfam family "Bacterial large subunit ribosomal RNA". Lineage: Bacteria; Bacillati; Bacillota; Bacilli; Lactobacillales; Streptococcaceae. The record is from RNAcentral.
UUAAGUUAAUAAGGGCGCACGGUGGAUGCCUUGGCACUAGAAGCCGAUGAAGGACGUGACUAACGACGAAAUGCUUUGGGGAGCUGUAAGUGAGCAAUGAUCCAGAGAUGUCCGAAUGGGGGAACCCGGCAGGUAAUGCCUGUCACUCAUUACUGUUAAGGUAAUGUAGAGGAAGACGCAGUGAACUGAAACAUCUAAGUAGCUGUAGGAAGAGAAAGCAAAAGCGAUUGCCUUAGUAGCGGCGAGCGAAACGGCAAGAGGGCAAACCGAAGAGUUUACUCUUCGGGGUUGUAGGACUGCAACGUGGACUUAAAGAUUAUAGAAGAACUACCUGGGAAGGUAGGCCAAAGAGAGUAAUAGCCUCGUAUUCGAAAUAGUCUUUAUACCUAGCAGUAUCCUGAGUACGGCGAGACACGAGAAAUCUCGUCGGAAUCUGGGAGGACCAUCUCCCAACCCUAAAUACUCUUUAGUGACCGAUAGUGAACCAGUACCGUGAGGGAAAGGUGAAAAGCACCCCGGGAGGGGAGUGAAAUAGAACCUGAAACCGUGUGCCUACAACAAGUUCGAGCCCGUUAAUGGGUGAGAGCGUGCCUUUUGUAGAAUGAACCGGCGAGUUACGAUAUGAUGCGAGGUUAAGUUGAAGAGACGGAGCCGUAGGGAAACCGAGUCUUAAUAGGGCGCAUUAGUAUCAUGUCGUAGACCCGAAACCAUGUGACCUACCCAUGAGCAGGUUGAAGGUGAGGUAAAACUCACUGGAGGACCGAACCAGGGCACGUUGAAAAGUGCUUGGAUGACUUGUGGGUAGCGGAGAAAUUCCAAACGAACUUGGAGAUAGCUGGUUCUCUCCGAAAUAGCUUUAGGGCUAGCGUCGAUGUUAAGUCUCUUGGAGGUAGAGCACUGUUUGGGUGAGGGGUCCAUCCCGGAUUACCAAUCUCAGAUAAACUCCGAAUGCCAAUGAGAUAUAAUCGGCAGUCAGACUGCGAGUGCUAAGAUCCGUAGUCGAAAGGGAAACAGCCCAGACCACCAGCUAAGGUCCCAAAAUAUAUGUUAAGUGGAAAAGGAUGUGGGGUUGCACAGACAACUAGGAUGUUAGCUUAGAAGCAGCUAUUCAUUCAAAGAGUGCGUAAUAGCUCACUAGUCGAGUGACCCUGCGCCGAAAAUGUACCGGGGCUAAAACAUAUUACCGAAGCUGUGGAUACCUUUAUAGGUAUGGUAGGAGAGCGUUCUAUGUGCGAAGAAGGUGUACCGUGAGGAGUGCUGGAGCGCAUAGAAGUGAGAAUGCCGGUAUGAGUAGCGAAAGACAGGUGAGAAUCCUGUCCACCGUAAGACUAAGGUUUCCAGGGGAAGGCUCGUCCGCCCUGGGUUAGUCGGGACCUAAGGAGAGACCGAAAGGUGUAUCCGAUGGACAACAGGUUGAUAUUCCUGUACUAGAGUAUAUAGUGAUGGAGGGACGCAGUAGGCUAACUAAACCAGACGAUUGGAAGUGUCUGGCCAAGCAGUGAGGUGUGAUAUGAGUCAAAUGCUUAUAUCUUUAACAUUGAGCUGUGAUGGGGAGCGAAGUUUAGUAGCGAAGUUAGUGAUGUCACACUGCCGAGAAAAGCUUCUAGCGUUAAUUAUACUCUACCCGUACCGCAAACCGACACAGGUAGUCGAGGCGAGUAGCCUCAGGUGAGCGAGAGAACUCUCGUUAAGGAACUCGGCAAAAUGGCCCCGUAACUUCGGGAGAAGGGGCGCUGACUGAUGGUCAGCCGCAGUGAAUAGGCCCAAGCAACUGUUUAUCAAAAACACAGCUCUCUGCUAAAUCGUAAGAUGAUGUAUAGGGGGUGACGCCUGCCCGGUGCUGGAAGGUUAAGAGGAGUGCUUAGCGUAAGCGAAGGCAUGAAUUGAAGCCCCAGUAAACGGCGGCCGUAACUAUAACGGUCCUAAGGUAGCGAAAUUCCUUGUCGGGUAAGUUCCGACCCGCACGAAAGGCGUAAUGAUUUGGGCACUGUCUCAACGAGAGACUCGGUGAAAUUUUAGUACCUGUGAAGAUGCAGGUUACCCGCGACAGGACGGAAAGACCCCAUGGAGCUUUACUGCAGUUUGAUAUUGAGUAUCUGUACCACAUGUACAGGAUAGGUAGGAGCCUAUGACCUCGGGACGCCAGUUUCGAGUGAGGCGUUGUUGGGAUACUACCCUUGUGUUAUGGCUACUCUAACCCAGAUAGGUUAUCCCUAUCGGGGACAGUGUCUGACGGGCAGUUUGACUGGGGCGGUCGCCUCCUAAAAGGUAACGGAGGCGCCCAAAGGUUCCCUCAGAAUGGUUGGAAAUCAUUCGCAGAGUGUAAAGGUAUAAGGGAGCUUGACUGCGAGAGCUACAACUCGAGCAGGGACGAAAGUCGGGCUUAGUGAUCCGGUAGUUCCGUAUGGAAGGGCCAUCGCUCAACGGAUAAAAGCUACCCUGGGGAUAACAGGCUUAUCUCCCCCAAGAGUUCACAUCGACGGGGAGGUUUGGCACCUCGAUGUCGGCUCGUCGCAUCCUGGGGCUGUAGUCGGUCCCAAGGGUUGGGCUGUUCGCCCAUUAAAGCGGCACGCGAGCUGGGUUCAGAACGUCGUGAGACAGUUCGGUCCCUAUCCGUCGCGGGCGUAGGAAAUUUGAGAGGAUCUGCUCCUAGUACGAGAGGACCAGAGUGGACUUACCGCUGGUGUACCAGUUGUUCUGCCAAGAGCAUCGCUGGGUAGCUAUGUAGGGAAGGGAUAAACGCUGAAAGCAUCUAAGUGUGAAGCCCACCUCAAGAUGAGAUUUCCCAUGAUUUUAUAUCAGUAAGAGCCCUGAGAGAUGAUCAGGUUGAUAGGUUAGAAGUGGAAGUGUGGUGACACAUGUAGCGGACUAAUACUAAUAGCUCGAGGACUUAUCCAA